AAGACAUCCCACUUCUGGACCAGCCUGGGCUGCAGCUUCUGCCUGGCAAAUCUGCAGGUCACACAACCUUUCAUGAAAAUAUUAGUGAAUAAGUUUCUGACAUUUGGAGAGAAAAGCAAGGCCAUUACCAUGCCAUGAAGGACAGAAGGAAGACUUAUUUGUUUUCCAAAGAAAAUUUGUAUUUUACAUCUGCUUAUUCUUCAGUCUGUGCUAUUGCAGAGAGCGCCUCCCUGAAGGCCCAUGGGCGUGGCCAGUAUAAGCAGAGCUGAAAGAUA
Long non-coding RNA from Phascolarctos cinereus (koala), 275 nucleotides. RefSeq lists it as uncharacterized. The record is from RefSeq and is a predicted model, not a curated record. NCBI's taxonomy places the organism in Eukaryota, Metazoa, Chordata, Mammalia, Diprotodontia, Phascolarctidae.